This 68-nucleotide transfer RNA is filed under the name Eurysternus foedus. RNAcentral describes it as "tRNA-Phe". Lineage: Eukaryota; Metazoa; Arthropoda; Insecta; Coleoptera; Scarabaeidae. The record is from RNAcentral.
AUUUAAAUAGCUUAAUUAAAGAGUAUGAUAUUGAAGAUAUCAGGGUAAUAUUUUUAUAUUUUUAAAUA